This 253-nucleotide ribosomal RNA is filed under the name uncultured bacterium. Its description in RNAcentral is "partial 16S ribosomal RNA". It matches the Rfam family "Bacterial small subunit ribosomal RNA", at positions 524 to 776 of the family's 1533-position model. The record is from RNAcentral.
UACGUAGGGUGCGAGCGUUAAUCGGAAUUACUGGGCGUAAAGCGUGCGCAGGCGGUUUUGUAAGCCAGAUGUGAAAUCCCCGGGCUCAACCUGGGAAUGGCAUUUGGGACUGCAAGGCUCGAGUGCGGCAGAGGAGACUGGAAUUCCUGGUGUAGCAGUGAAAUGGGUAGAUAUCAGGAGGAAUACCGAUGGCGAAGGCAGGUCUCUGGGCUGACACUGACGCUCAUGCACGAAAGCGUGGGGAGCAAACAGG